CCGGCUGAGAAGAGCGCUCGCAUCCCCGCCUGCUGCGUCUCCACUCCCCGCAGCACCACCCGAACCUGCCCCGGAGGAGUCGCCCCCCUUCAGAUCUAGAGAAUCCUCUGGAAGGGACACCGAGCCGUCCACCAGAGAGCGAGCGUGUGAAGCAGACGAUCUGUGAUGCUUACCUGCACAUUUAAAUGAGUUGUUGCCUUCCUGUAGCCACUGCCUGUCUAUCUAUGAGCACGAAACGGACAGGAAAUGCAUCAAAAUCCCCCACUGACAUGCACAGGACAACAUCCACUGGUUGGUCUUCUAUCGGGCUUCGUCUGCACGACCUAGCGGGAGAUAAAGAUGCUCAUGGAUCUUAAGUGAUGGACGCUCA
This is a long non-coding RNA of Cyclopterus lumpus (lumpfish), 370 nucleotides long. RefSeq lists it as uncharacterized. NCBI's taxonomy places the organism in Eukaryota, Metazoa, Chordata, Actinopteri, Perciformes, Cyclopteridae. The record is from RefSeq and is a predicted model, not a curated record. The transcript is spliced from 3 exons.